This 402-nucleotide long non-coding RNA is filed under the name Rhipicephalus microplus (southern cattle tick). RNAcentral's name for it is "uncharacterized LOC119175115, transcript variant X1". Lineage: Eukaryota; Metazoa; Arthropoda; Arachnida; Ixodida; Ixodidae. The record is from RNAcentral.
CUAUACACUUUCACCGCAUCCUGAAGAACCACUGGUUGAACUGUUCAUCUGAAGAACCACUGGUUGAACUGUUCAAAGCACUCCUUCGUUGCGACGUGAAAAGCAUGUGCAGACAUCGAAGAAUCACCCAAAACAGGGCUGCUGGCGCAAUACAUAGGACGCAGCUAAAAUGUCGCCCAUUCGGAUAACGUACUUCUUUCGCUUUUCUUCACUGCUGUCAGUGCAAGACAUUGCGCCUGGGACUGCGCCUGCUAAUGCGACCGCCAGUGCACUUUGUUUGACGAGACCAGAAGAGCAUCAUAUGAUCGUCAUUGUUCAUGACUUUUCAUGUGAAAGCUUAUAUUUUUUUUUUCAAAACUCAGUCGAAUUCUUUAAAAUAAACAUAGAUUGCAGCACUGUGUA